This 302-nucleotide ribosomal RNA is filed under the name Salmonella enterica subsp. enterica. Its description in RNAcentral is "partial 16S ribosomal RNA". It matches the Rfam family "Bacterial small subunit ribosomal RNA", at positions 484 to 785 of the family's 1533-position model. RNAcentral also lists the same sequence under 2 other names. The record is from RNAcentral. Lineage: Bacteria; Pseudomonadati; Pseudomonadota; Gammaproteobacteria; Enterobacterales; Enterobacteriaceae.
GAAGAAGCACCGGCUAACUCCGUGCCAGCAGCCGCGGUAAUACGGAGGGUGCAAGCGUUAAUCGGAAUUACUGGGCGUAAAGCGCACGCAGGCGGUCUGUCAAGUCGGAUGUGAAAUCCCCGGGCUCAACCUGGGAACUGCAUUCGAAACUGGCAGGCUUGAGUCUUGUAGAGGGGGGUAGAAUUCCAGGUGUAGCGGUGAAAUGCGUAGAGAUCUGGAGGAAUACCGGUGGCGAAGGCGGCCCCCUGGACAAAGACUGACGCUCAGGUGCGAAAGCGUGGGGAGCAAACAGGAUUAGAUAC